This is a non-coding RNA of Physcomitrium patens, 3389 nucleotides long. The record is from RefSeq and is a predicted model, not a curated record. NCBI's taxonomy places the organism in Eukaryota, Viridiplantae, Streptophyta, Bryopsida, Funariales, Funariaceae.
CUAAGCUCUCUGUCUGUCAAUCCAGCUCGUCCCUGCGCUGUUGCAUCUUGUGCGAGUCGUGCAACUCUUGGUUUCAACUCUCGCCAUCAGAAUUGGGAGGUGGGUUUGCUUCGGAAUUCCGAGUAGACCUUGGGAUCGGUUGCAGGAAUGCGGUUUGGUUCGGAGGUUGAAUCGCUUUGAGUGGUUUUGGUGAUGGAGGUUGCGGCGUUGGUGCCUGCCGCGAUGGAGGAUGUGAUGAAGCCGUCGCCUCCACCCUCGCCUGUCGCUGCCACGAAGAAGUUGCGCAGGCUCAGGAAGGUUACGGAAGCCGAGAUUGCUAAGAAUGACGGGGUUGGUGAAUGUGAUGUGGUUCCUGAGAAGGUUGUUACUGAAGUUGACGAGGUACUGGAGCGUCGAGAGACGGUAGAGGAGAUUCUGAAGCGGUUUGGGAAGGGAGGAGAUGUGGUUGGCGAAGGAAGCAACAAGAGGAAAACUGUGCAGAGCACUAUUUCGACAUCUGUAUUGAGCAUGGCCCUACCCAGGGGGGCUACUGACAUGGAUGUUUCUGGUGCUAAGGAUGAUGCAGCCCUAGCGCACAUUGGAAACCCCACGUUGAAGGAUGGCGAAACCGAGAAUGGCGGUCUGGAACAUGAAAGCCAGGAGUUAGAGCGUGCUGCCGGUUCAGAAGAGUUGACAGAGGCUGUGCCUUUCAGCAAGAGGAAGAGAUCAAGCACUGUGAAGAGGUGCUCAUCUCACGUGACUGGCAUGACCUUCGGGAUUUCAGUUUUUGAGGAUGAGGGUGAUUCUAUGGAGAAGUCUGAUAAUGCGUCCGGAAAGGACAUUGAGGUUCAAUUAAGCGAUGAAGAAGAUUCGGUUCCAGAGAAGGGCCACGGGGUUGCUGACGAAGUUAUGAAGGAUGGAGCAGUGGAAGGAGAUUCCGAGAAGGGCAGCGAAGCCAACGAAGGAGGAGAAUAUGGAGGAUCAUGUAUUGGUUGGUCUGAUGGUUGGUCUGGAGAGGGGAUGUCCAUGGACAGCAUCUUGGAGAAAGCCAGGAAGAUGGUCGCUGACAUGUCUUCUGCAGGAACUGAAACUGCUAAACCUAUCGUUGAGAAGAAAAAAUCAAUUGAUGUCAUUGACGACCAACACGGGAAGAAGAAGAAGAGUAAGAAGGAAGAAGAGCGAUUAAAGAGGGAAGACAUCUACGCUGAAUCUCAGAGGCUUCUGCGAGAGUCGAAAGGAGUUGCAUUUGUGGCUCCAGCUCCAGUGAAGAAAUCGGUUUCUAGCGUACUGGAGAAAAUCCGUCAAAGGCGACAACAACUAGGUUGCAGUGGUUCAGCUUCAUUGCACAAGGAUGAGACAAAGGAGGUGUCACAACGAGCAAUCGAGGAUAGGAACAAUACUUAUGUAGAUCUGACAGUGGACGAGGAAGCGGAUAUCGAGAUCGAGAUCUUUGGCUCAACCACUGUGAGAAUCAAUAAAGCUAUCCAGAGUGCAGAAGUUGACGUAGAUCUACAAGAUGAUACUGCUGGUGACGAGAAGAGUCCACAAGCAGUUGAGAGUCAAGGAAGCCUGUUUCAAUCUGAGCUGGCAUCUAGCAGAUCAGAAGAAAAAGAUUUAACCUUGGAGUUGAGUCAGCGCAUCAUGAACACUCAGGAUCUGUUGUGUACCUCACAAUUGAGCCCUCCAACUGAGGCGAGUCUCGAAACUACAUCAUUUGAACCUGUGGUUGCUGUGGAUCCUGACUUCAUGUGCCUUGAAACUCAAGCACUGGAUUUGGAUGAGGAUUUGAUGCAUAGGACAAUGCAUGCCAAUCACCAGAAAGAAACCAAACAAGCAGGUCUACAGCCAUUAGCUCAAUCGGAGGUCUACACAACAGCAACACAUGUUAGGGGUUUGAUUGAUGACGAAGCCGAGGAUGAGGAUGAAGACAUUCUAGCAGAGAAUGCCGAAGAAGAAGAAGAAAUUAUUGGAGAUGAGGAGGAUUUGCAGGACCUUAUUGCAACCACUGAGAAGGAGAAGGCUGGUGAUAAAGCUCGGCGGGAUGCCCUGCACCGCAAGUGGCUUGAUCAGCAGGACACUGAACAGACUGAAGACAUACUAGAGCGGUUGCGAACAGGCCGGAGCACAAGAUGGAAAGGUCGGGACCGAGUUGUUAGCUGUUUAGAUGAAGAUGACCUUUUAAAUACUAGAGAGUCUGAAUCUCUGGACAAUAACAGCAGUCAAGCAGGAGGCAUUGAACCUUUUGCUGAGGAGGACCCUAUAGCUGAACUCUCAACUAGUUUAAGGCAGAAAAUGAAAAGUCAAGGCUUAGAAAUGGAUUGUCUUGACGAGUACGAGAAUGCCGAAGAGAUACCCACUGAGGAGCUUGCCGUUGAGGACGACGAGGAUCAUGAACAGUCGAUCAUAAGAAAACGUAUGCUAGAAGAAUCGGAGGAACAACUCGCGUUUAUGACCCCUGCUGAGGAUGAGAGCUCCAGGGAAGUUCUGCGUCUCAUUAACAAAGUAAAUGUGGGCAACUUGAAGACGAAAUCUAAUCCAGGUCAUUCUGAAUUUCGGCCAUUAGGUGGUACGCAUAAUUCAUCUCUUCCUUCGAAGCCAUCUUUUCUUGGACGAAGUGUGUCCUCAUCUUCACUACUUCCACCAGCUCAUAGGCAAGUCGGCUCAGGCGGAAGUUCACGUUCGUUUGUGUUUGGUCGCGAUGACAGUAAUAGUGGUUCUGAAUUCGCCCCUCCUCAAGUUCAGGAAUCAAAGAAUACUGGUAAUGCCAAUAAUGCACUUGCGAAGGGAGUUAGCUCAACAUCGACAAAAGAUAAGAUACGUCCUGCUCAAACGACAAGUGGACCUUCGCUUUUUCAGAUGCUCAAGCAACAGUCAAAAGAACUUGAGCAAAACGGGAAAGAGAGCGCAUCGACGAUUGCCAAGAAGUGGGGCAGCAACACUGAGGCAUUCUCAAUGUUUGCCAGUAAAAAAUCAGUUAACAUAUUGGGGCGCAAAUAGCAUCAUAUAGAGGAGAGAACUGAUUUUUGGAUAUUACAGCUUAUGCCCUCCCAUUGAGGGCAAUACUUCAAAGUAAAUUUCAAGCUAUGUAACGCACCCUGUACUAUAUUCCAGAUUGAAGUAAAGUAAACUAAUGAUUCCGGGACACGAAUUACGCCUCUCACCAAUAUUCGCUUGAUAAUUCACGAGCCAAUAUAUCUCGCCCCGAUCAAACGCUGCGUGUGGGAAGGACAUGAAAUGCUAAUUGAAGACGACUAGCCACCACAUUAUAAGCUAGACAGUGAAAGUCUAUUGCUUCCGCAUGUUACGGCCGGCCCGAAUAACUUCGUCGACAAGAAGAAGCUGGGCAGCAAUCACAGGUGCUGAAGAGAUGAUUUGUCGCUUAACGGAGUAAUUAUCGAAAAUUCCUUGUA